UGGGGAAUCUUGCGCAAUGGGCGAAAGCCUGACGCAGCCAUGCCGCGUGAGUGAUGAAGGCCUUAGGGUUGUAAAACUCUUUCACCGGGGACGAUAAUGACGGUACCCGGAGAAGAAGCCCCGGCUAACUUCGUGCCAGCAGCCGCGGUAAUACGAAGGGGGCUAGCGUUGCUCGGAAUUACUGGGCGUAAAGGGCGCGUAGGCGGAUCAGCAAGUUGGGGGUGAAAGCCCGGGGCUCAACCUCGGAAUUGCCUUCAAAACUGCUGAUCUAGAGUACGGGAGAGGUGUGUGGAACUCCGAGUGUAGAGGUGAAAUUCGUAGAUAUUCGGAAGAACACCAGUGGCGAAGGCGACACACUGGCCCGUUACUGACACUGAGGCGCGAAAGCGUGGGGAGCAAACAGGAUUAGAUACCCUGGUAGUCCACGCUGUAAAACGAUGAUUGCUAGUUGUCGGCAGGCAUGCCUGUCGGUGACGCAGCUAACGCAUUAAGCAAUCCGCCUGGGGAGUACGGUCGCAAGAUUAAAAACUCAAAGG
This 536-nucleotide ribosomal RNA is filed under the name uncultured bacterium. Its description in RNAcentral is "partial 16S ribosomal RNA". It matches the Rfam family "Bacterial small subunit ribosomal RNA", at positions 355 to 907 of the family's 1533-position model. The record is from RNAcentral.